Molecule: non-coding RNA, 348 nt
Organism: Cinara cedri
Lineage: Eukaryota; Metazoa; Arthropoda; Insecta; Hemiptera; Aphididae
Source: the annotation of a GenBank genome assembly
UAAAACUAAACAAUCACUUUUGUUUGUAAAUCAAUGGUGUGGUCAGUAAAGAAAACAAAAUGAAUUAAUUAAAUUCAUUAAUAUUAAUUGAGCAGAACUACAAUAUUAUUCUCGUGAAGCUCGCGGAGCAGUUUGAGAACCGCUGCAGGGGUUGUAGGUAAGUUUGAUUUUACACUGUUUAUUUCACCCGUAAGUUCGGGGAAAUGUUAUUAUGCCAUCGGUCCCAUCUUAAUGAAACCACUCGAUAAACCCAUCUUAUGUAGUAAAUCUCUGAUUAAUGUUAUAAUAAAAUAUUUCACGAAAUGCUUAAUUUUAUAUUCUUGGUGUAUGAAUAAAUAAUUUGGCUUA